RNAcentral lists this ribosomal RNA (388 nucleotides) under Salmonella enterica subsp. enterica serovar Newport. Its description in RNAcentral is "partial 23S ribosomal RNA". It matches the Rfam family "Bacterial large subunit ribosomal RNA", at positions 175 to 599 of the family's 2925-position model. Lineage: Bacteria; Pseudomonadati; Pseudomonadota; Gammaproteobacteria; Enterobacterales; Enterobacteriaceae. The record is from RNAcentral.
UGAGGCGAACCGGGGGAACUGAAACAUCUAAGUACCCCGAGGAAAAGAAAUCAACCGAGAUUCCCCCAGUAGCGGCGAGCGAACGGGGAGGAGCCCAGAGCCUGAAUCAGCAUGUGUGUUAGUGGAAGCGUCUGGAAAGGCGCGCGAUACAGGGUGACAGCCCCGUACACAAAAGCGCAUGUGCUGUGAGCUCGAUGAGUAGGGCGGGACACGUGGUAUCCUGUCUGAAUAUGGGGGGACCAUCCUCCAAGGCUAAAUACUCCUGACUGACCGAUAGUGAACCAGUACCGUGAGGGAAAGGCGAAAAGAACCCCGGCGAGGGGAGUGAAAAAGAACCUGAAACCGUGUACGUACAAGCAGUGGGAGCACAGGUUUACCUGUGUGACUG